GACGAACGCUGGCGGCGUGCUUAACACAUGCAAGUCGAACGGUAAGGCCCUUCGGGGUACACGAGUGGCGAACGGGUGAGUAACACGUGGGUGAUCUGCCCUGCACUUCGGGAUAAGCCUGGGAAACUGGGCCUAAUACCGGAUAGGACCACUGCCUGCAUGGGUGGUGGUGGAAAGCUUUUGCGGUGUGGGAUGGGCCCGCGGCCUAUCAGCUUGUUGGUGGGGUGAUGGCCUACCAAGGCGACGACGGGUAGCCGGCCGGAGAGGGUGACCGGCCACACUAGGACUGAGAUACGGCCCAGACUCCUACGGGAGGCAGCAGUGGGGAAUAUUGCACAAUGGGCGCAAGCCUGAUGCAGCGACGCCGCGUGAGGGAUGACGGCCUUCGGGUUGUAAACCUCUUUCAGCACCGACGAAGCGCAAGUGACGGUAGGUGCAGAAGAAGGACCGGCCAACUACGUGCCAGCCGCCGCCGUAA
RNAcentral lists this ribosomal RNA (478 nucleotides) under uncultured bacterium. Its description in RNAcentral is "partial 16S ribosomal RNA". It matches the Rfam family "Bacterial small subunit ribosomal RNA", at positions 28 to 523 of the family's 1533-position model. The record is from RNAcentral.